This 1102-nucleotide ribosomal RNA is filed under the name uncultured organism. RNAcentral describes it as "bacterial SSU rRNA". It matches the Rfam family "Bacterial small subunit ribosomal RNA", at positions 237 to 1342 of the family's 1533-position model. The record is from RNAcentral.
GACAUUAGCUAGUUGGUAAGGUAACGGCUUACCAAGGCGACGAUGUCUAGGGGGUUUGAGAGGAUGAUCCCCCACACUGGUACUGAGACACGGACCAGACUCCUACGGGAGGCAGCAGUGAGGAAUAUUGGGCAAUGGGCGCAAGCCUGACCCAGCCAUGCCGCGUGCAGGAUGAAGGUCCUAUGGAUCGUAAACUGCUUUUGUAUGGGAAGAACUUCCCGCAUUCGUGCGGGAUUGACGGUACUAUACGAAUAAGGACCGGCUAACUCCGUGCCAGCAGCCGCGGUAAUACGGAGGGUCCAAGCGUUAUCCGGAUUCACUGGGUUUAAAGGGUGCGUAGGUGGAACGAUAAGUCGAUGGUGAAAGCCUACAGCUUAACUGUAGAAUUGCCAUUGAUACUGUUGUUCUUGAGUAUAGUCGGGGGAAGUGGAAUGCGUAAUGUAGCGGUGAAAUGCAUAGGUAUUACGCAGAACACCGAUCGCGAAAGCAGCUUCCUAGGCUAUUACUGACACUGAGGCACGAAAGCGUGGGGAGCGAACAGGAUUAGAUACCCUGGUAGUCCACGCCGUAAACGAUGCUCACUCGCUGUUGGCGAUAUAUUGUCAGCAGUUAAGCUAAAGCAUUAAGUGAGCCACCUGGGAAGUACGUCCGCAAGGAUGAAACUCAAAGGAAUUGACGGGGGCCCGCACAACCGGUGGAACAUGUGGUUCAAUUCGAUGAUACGCGAGGAACCUUACCUGGGCUUAAAUGUAGUUUGACUUCCGCCGAAAGGCGGUUUUCCUUCGGGACAAAUUACAAGGUGCUGCACGGCUGUCGUCAGCUCGUGCCGUGAGGUAUCGGGUUAAGUCCCUUAACGAGCGCAACCCCUAUUGUUAGUUACCAACAGGUUAAGCUGGGGACUCUAGCAAAACUGCCAGCGUAAGCUGGAGGAAGGUGGGGAUGACGUCAAGUCAGCAUGGCCCUUAUGUCCAGGGCUACACACGUGUUACAAUGGCCGAUACAAAGGGCAGCCACCACGCGAGUGGGAGCUAAUCCUUAAAAUCGGUCUCAGUUCGGAUCGAAGUCUGCAAUUCGACUUCGUGAAGGUGGAAUCGGUAGUAAU